RNAcentral lists this ribosomal RNA (448 nucleotides) under uncultured bacterium. RNAcentral's name for it is "bacterial SSU rRNA". It matches the Rfam family "Bacterial small subunit ribosomal RNA", at positions 355 to 825 of the family's 1533-position model. The record is from RNAcentral.
UCGGGAAUCUUGGACAAUGGGCGCAAGCCUGAUCCAGCCAUGCCGCGUGAGUGACGAAGGUCUUCGGAUUGUAAAGCUCUUUUUGCCAGGGACGAUAAUGACGGUACCUGGAGAAUAAGCCCCGGCUAACUUCGUGCCAGCAGCCGCGGUAAUACGAAGGGGGCUAGCGUUGUUCGGAAUUACUGGGCGUAAAGCGCACGUAGGCGGAUUAGUAAGUCAGGGGUGAAAUCCCGGGGCUCAACCUCGGAACUGCCUUUGAUACUGCUAAUCUCGAGUCCGAUAGAGGUGAGUGGAAUUCCUAGUGUAGAGGUGAAAUUCGUAGAUAUUAGGAAGAACACCAGUGGCGAAGGGGGCUCACUGGAUCGGUACUGACGCUGAGGUGCGAAAGCGUGGGGAGCAAACAGGAUUAGAUACCCACGUAGUCCCUGAGCGGGCUGGCAAGGCGCAU